GAUGAAGAACGUAGCGAAAUGCGAAAAGUAGUGUGAAUUGCAGAAUUCAGUGAAUCAUCGAAUCUUUGAACGCACAUUGCGCCCCUUGGUAUUCCAUGGGGCAUGCCUGUUCGAGCGUCAUUUGUACCUUCAAGCUUUGCUUGGUGUUGGGUGUUUGUCCUGAGGGACUCGCCUUAAAGUAAUUGGCAGCCAGUGUUUUGGUUUUGAAGCGCAGCACAAGUCGCGAUUCAAAGCUAUACGCCAGCUUCCACAAGCCUUUUUCACUUUUGACCUCGGAUCAGGUAGGGAUACCCGCUGAACUUAAGCAUAUCAAUAAGCGGAGGA
RNAcentral lists this unclassified non-coding RNA (324 nucleotides) under soil metagenome. Its description in RNAcentral is "partial contains 5.8S ribosomal RNA, internal transcribed spacer 2, and large subunit ribosomal RNA". The stretch from base 1 to 120 matches the Rfam family "5.8S ribosomal RNA", at positions 35 to 154 of the family's 154-position model. The record is from RNAcentral.